RNAcentral lists this ribosomal RNA (492 nucleotides) under uncultured bacterium. Its description in RNAcentral is "partial 16S ribosomal RNA". It matches the Rfam family "Bacterial small subunit ribosomal RNA", at positions 28 to 507 of the family's 1533-position model. The record is from RNAcentral.
GAUGAACGCUAGCUACAGGCUUAACACAUGCAAGUCGAGGGGAAACGGCAUUGAGUGCUUGCACUCUUUGGUCGUCGACCGGCGCACGGGUGAGUAACGCGUAUCCAACCUUCCCAUUACUGUGGGAUAACCUGCCGAAAGGCAGACUAAUACCGCAUAGUCUUCGAUGACGGCAUCAGAUUUGAAGUAAAGAUUUAUCGGUAAUGGAUGGGGAUGCGUCUGAUUAGCUUGUUGGCGGGGUAACGGCCCACCAAGGCUACGAUCAGUAGGGGUUCUGAGAGGAAGGUCCCCCACAUUGGAACUGAGACACGGUCCAAACUCCUACGGGAGGCAGCAGUGAGGAAUAUUGGUCAAUGGACGGAAGUCUGAACCAGCCAAGUAGCGUGCAGGAUGACGGCCCUAUGGGUUGUAAACUGCUUUUGUAUGGGGAUAAAGUUAGGGACGUGUCCCUAUUUGCAGGUACCAUACGAAUAAGGACCGGCUAAUUCCGUG